RNAcentral lists this long non-coding RNA (1002 nucleotides) under Manihot esculenta (cassava). RNAcentral describes it as "long non-coding RNA (MESC_LNC006761)". Lineage: Eukaryota; Viridiplantae; Streptophyta; Magnoliopsida; Malpighiales; Euphorbiaceae. The record is from RNAcentral.
CUUAAGGCCGCCAAGACCCGUAGCAAGCCUGACAUACAACCUGAAAAUCUAUUUAAUCCCAUACAUGAUCAACAACAUACAUAAAAAUUUAAAACUUUUCUUUCACUCAUAAGCCAAACUCAACCUGCGCAUGCACUGAACAUACUCAUAAUCAUAAUCAUGACCCCUCUGUGGGAUCUCAUCAAUGCCCCAAUGGGCGAUACAUCAUAAGAUGAGUUGGCUUACAUGAACAUCAUAAAAAGAUCUAAGAUCAUGUUUUAAAAGGGAUACCUCAUACAUAAAGUCAAGCACAAUCUCUAAUCCUCAAUAUCAUUACAUGACUGAAACUGUACUUUUACAUAAUAUCAAUACAUUUAUCAUGUCCACACUAUCUAUUACAUAUACCAGACUUCAUUACUCUUGUAAACCUCCCGGUCUACUCUGUACCUGCAAUCCUGGGGAAAUUUGGAAGAGGGGUGAGCUACUAGAGCCCAGUGAGCAGAAUAAUAAAACAUUUAAAACAUAGGAUAACAUGGAAUGCAUCACAUCAUAGCUAAACACAUCAAGGAUGAACCUGUCACCAAUAGCCCUCUACAUGGUCCAACUGUGCCAGAACGUAGAAUGGGUCCUGGUCUUUCCCUUACAUAUCAUAACAUAACAGUGUCCAACUGUGCCAGAACGUAGAAUGGGUCCUGGUCUUUCCCUUACAUAGUGCCAGCGAACGUAGAAUGGGUCCCACUGGUCUUACAUUCCGUACUGUACAUAUCACAUCGUCAUAUCAUAGAUCGAGGGCUAUGGAUCAUCCAACAUUCAUCCACAUCAACAUUAAAAUGUGCAAUGCAACAUAUUCGUGGAUUCUAAUGCAAACAACCUAAAACAUCACAUGGCAUUCAUGAUGCAUGAACAUGCUCAAAACUAUACGAUUAAUUUGCUUAAAAACAUAAAGGUUUAUUCCACUCACCUCUGGAUAGCUCUGUCCAAACACUGGGGCAACAGACUCACUGCUGGGGUUCUCGGUUCCUC